This 1295-nucleotide unclassified non-coding RNA is filed under the name Pomacea canaliculata. RNAcentral describes it as "e3 ubiquitin-protein ligase MIB2-like, transcript variant X2". Lineage: Eukaryota; Metazoa; Mollusca; Gastropoda; Architaenioglossa; Ampullariidae. The record is from RNAcentral.
AGAAGCAUGCCACCCUGAGUGCGCGGUGGACCAGAAGGAGCAUCUGAAGGAUGGCGACAGAGUAGCCAUCACGGUGUGCGAAGAACGCUUGAAGGAGCUGCAGCACGAGUUGGAGAAGUGCCCAAAGGCAUGGUGCAGUGUAUAGGAAGGACGGGAACAGUGACUGGGACAGUGCCAAGAGGAGGCGUCACUGUUCGAUUUCAGACCACGUCUUACCGAUUCAACCCAGAAGCCCUGAAAAAGGUCGACAAUUUUUCUCGAGGAGAUACAGUACGAAUUGUCUCCGAUCUCGCCCUUCUCAAAAUCUUCAACACUAAAGUCGGCUGGCGCACUGCAAUGGAAGAGGCAGCGGGGAAGGUUGGCAUUGUCACUCACAUAGACACGGACAGCAAUGUGGUGGUGACCUUCGGCCAGCGCGGAGUUCUCUUUGCUCCUGCCUCGUGCAUGCCCGCUCCAGGAGCCUCCCAAGACACCUUACCGGAAGUUGAACCUGGUCCUGAGUCCAGGAGGAACGCUGCUGUCAAAGAGGAGAAGAAAACACAAGGGCAACAGGAGAUGAAGAAGCUGCUGACUGGCUCUGUCAAGCAGGACAGUGUUCUUGACAGCGUGUCCUCAAUAGUCUUCUCCGACAAAUCCUCUCAUCUACAUGAAGCCAUUAAAGUAGGCGACUGCACCAAAGUGUCUUCAUUAUGUCAAGCUGACCCAACACUCCUGAACCAGGAGCGUCGAGGGCUCACUCCCCUGAUAUAUGCAUGCCACAAAGGUCAGCUGAAGGUGGUGAACCUGCUGCUAGACUGUGGGGCCGAUGUUAAUGGUGUCAGCCGUGAAGGGCGUUCAGCGCUGUCCGUGGCACUAGAAAGCAAAAAUGAAGAAAUUGCCUUACUUCUGCUGGAUCGCGCAGCCGAUCCCAGGUACACCAGUCGUAAAGCGCGGACUGCCUUACACAUGGCUGCCUACAACAAUCUGUCCAAGCAUUUCAGACUCUCAUCAAUAAAGGUGCUGAUGUCAAUGCUAAGGACAUGUCUGGCGACACGCCUCUUCUGGACGCGCUGACCAUGGACAAUCGAGGCAUUGCCGACAUGCUACUGGCUCUAGACUCUGUAGACAUCAACCACGCCAACAACAGGGACAUCACAGCCUUGCACGCCGCGUCAGUUCGUGGAAAUUGCGCUGCUGUCGAGCGGAUUCUGGCACGAGACAAAACAAACGUAAAUAAAAGGAUUAAUGGGGAGAUAAGCCCGCUGCACCUGGCGACCAACGACAACCACGUGGAAGUGAUGCGGCUUCUUGUCAUC